GACAGAGGCCCCAAGCGUUAGGCGGAAUCACUGGGCUUAAAGCGUGUGUAGGCGGAUCGUUAAGUGUCUUGUGAAAUCCCACGGCUCACCCGUGGAACUGCUGGGCAUACUGGCGAUCUUGGGCCAACUAGGGGCAGCCGGAACAAGCGGUGGAGCGGUGAAAUGCGUAGAUAUCGCUUGGAACGCCAACGGUGAAAACAGACGACUGGGAGUGUGCUGACGCUGAGACACGAAAGCCAGGGGAGCGAACGGG
RNAcentral lists this ribosomal RNA (253 nucleotides) under uncultured bacterium. RNAcentral describes it as "partial 16S ribosomal RNA". It matches the Rfam family "Bacterial small subunit ribosomal RNA", at positions 524 to 776 of the family's 1533-position model. The record is from RNAcentral.